Non-coding RNA from Acanthosepion pharaonis, 112 nucleotides. NCBI's taxonomy places the organism in Eukaryota, Metazoa, Mollusca, Cephalopoda, Sepiida, Sepiidae. The record is from the annotation of a GenBank genome assembly.
ACGGACACAUCACGUGGGAACACCGAUUCCAGUGCGACCACCGAAGUUAAGCAACGUCGAGCGUGGUUAGUACCUAGAUGGAUGACUGUCUGGGGAUGCCAGGUAUUGUAAG